RNAcentral lists this ribosomal RNA (455 nucleotides) under uncultured bacterium. RNAcentral's name for it is "partial 16S ribosomal RNA". It matches the Rfam family "Bacterial small subunit ribosomal RNA", at positions 355 to 802 of the family's 1533-position model. The record is from RNAcentral.
UAGGGAAUCUUCCACAAUGGACGCAAGUCUGAUGGAGCAACGCCGCGUGAGUGAAGAAGGUUUUCGGAUCGUAAAGCUCUGUUGUUGGUGAAGAAGGAUAGAGGCAGUAACUGGUCUUUAUUUGACGGUAAUCAACCAGAAAGUCACGGCUAACUACGUGCCAGCAGCCGCGGUAAUACGUAGGUGGCAAGCGUUGUCCGGAUUUAUUGGGCGUAAAGCGAGCGCAGGCGGAAUGAUAAGUCUGAUGUGAAAGCCCACGGCUCAACCGUGGAACUGCAUCGGAAACUGUCAUUCUUGAGUGCAGAAGAGGAGAGUGGAACUCCAUGUGUAGCGGUGGAAUGCGUAGAUAUAUGGAAGAACACCAGUGGCGAAGGCGGCUCUCUGGUCUGCAACUGACGCUGAGGCUCGAAGGCAUGGGUAGCGAACAGGAUUAGAUACCCUGGUAGUCCAUGCCG